RNAcentral lists this ribosomal RNA (449 nucleotides) under uncultured bacterium. RNAcentral's name for it is "partial 16S ribosomal RNA". It matches the Rfam family "Bacterial small subunit ribosomal RNA", at positions 29 to 523 of the family's 1533-position model. The record is from RNAcentral.
AACGAACGCUGGCGGCAUGCCUAACACAUGCAAGUCGAACGAGAUCUUCGGGUCUAGUGGCGCACGGGUGCGUAACGCGUGGGAAUCUGCCCUUUGGUUCGGAAUAACAGUUGGAAACGACUGCUAAUACCGGAUGAUGACGAAAGUCCAAAGAUUUAUCGCCAGAGGAUGAGCCCGCGUAGGAUUAGCUAGUUGGUGUGGUAAAGGCGCACCAAGGCGACGAUCCUUAGCUGGUCUGAGAGGAUGAUCAGCCACACUGGGACUGAGACACGGCCCAGACUCCUACGGGAGGCAGCAGUGGGGAAUAUUGGACAAUGGGCGAAAGCUUGAUCCAGCAAUGCCGCGUGAGUGAUGAAGGCCUUAGGGUUGUAAAGCUCUUUUACCCGGGAUGAUAAUGACAGUACCGGGAGAAUAAGCUCCGGCUAACUCCGUGCCAGCAGCCGUCGUAA